This 62-nucleotide transfer RNA is filed under the name Bragasellus peltatus. RNAcentral's name for it is "transfert RNA-M(ATG)". The record is from RNAcentral. Lineage: Eukaryota; Metazoa; Arthropoda; Malacostraca; Isopoda; Asellidae.
UUAAAGAUAAGCUAAUAUAAGCUGAUGGGUUCAUACCCCAUCUAUGAUUUACUCUCUUUAAA